UCAACUCCUGGAUGACUACAAGAAAGGGAACCUCCACAUCAUUCCAGAAACUCCUCUGGCUGAGGAGAGAUCAGGAGAUGACAGUGAUGUGUUGAUAGACCCAGGAGAUGAACAUAUGCCUGAGAAGAAGAACUAGUGUGGAACUGUCAGCCAGGUUUUUGAUGAGUGCUCAGACUGCUUCCUGAUCCGGCACCACAUUUACUAUAGUGGACAGAUGCUCUAGUCUCUGAUGAGGAGUUGCUAGCUGUUAGGAAAAACCUGGAAUGGGCUCCACUGCAUGAGGUUUGAAGUCUCCAGAGCAGCAAAGAGAGUGGGGAGUAGAACUCA
RNAcentral lists this long non-coding RNA (327 nucleotides) under Mus musculus (house mouse). Its description in RNAcentral is "predicted gene 28840". The record is from RNAcentral. Lineage: Eukaryota; Metazoa; Chordata; Mammalia; Rodentia; Muridae.